AGUUUAAUUUCGAAUAUUGCAAAAGUUACUUUUAUUUACGAAAUUGCCACAAGGGCAAACUUGUAAUUUUGCCUAGACUAAUAAAUAUCCUAAGUCUUCUUCCCCACUUCAUUUCCAGCAAAUUUCUUUUACCUCCAUUGUUGAAUGCUCUCAACUCACCAUUUACCCUUAGCUAUAUUAUUCAUUUGUUAUUUCUCAAUAAUUCCUUAACGAAAAACGUUGGAAAUCACCCGCUAAUUACUAAUCUACAAUUGCAUGUAGGAUCAAGAUUCGACAAGUUGUCGAGCUAUCGAGUCGGAGGACCAAGGGAAUUAACGGAGUUGUUUAAAGGAGCAUUGACGGAGUAAUACCGUAGUUAAACGGUUUCUGAAAGCUGGUCCGAUUUUGAUGAAGGCUUCCGAACGUUUAUUUCUCGGAAGUCUACUUUGAUAAAAGACUGUAAAGAAGGUUUUAAGUUCUAGUUGUCCGCAGUAGACUAGUAUAGUCUUAUUGUAUUUAAAUGUUUUAAAGCACAUUUAAAACUUUGAUGUUUUAUCUCAUCAGUUAUUUAAUAAAUGUGUCAUACGUCUCUUUUAAAAGCGAAAAA
Molecule: long non-coding RNA, 586 nt
Organism: Mercurialis annua (annual mercury)
Lineage: Eukaryota; Viridiplantae; Streptophyta; Magnoliopsida; Malpighiales; Euphorbiaceae
Exons: 3
Source: RefSeq, a predicted model, not a curated record